CCUACGGGUGGCAGCAGUGGGGGAUAUUGCACAAUGGGGGGAACCCUGAUGCAGCGACGCCGCGUGGGUGAAGAAGCGCCUCGGCGCGUAAAGCUCUGUCAGCAGGGAAGAAAAUGCAGGUACCUGAGGAAUCAGCCCCGUCCAACUACGUGACAGCAGCCGCGGUAAUACGGAGGGGGCAAGCGUUAUCCGGAUUUACUGGGUGUAAAGGGGGCGCAGACGGUGAGGUAAGCCAGGAGUGAAAGCCCGGGGCCCAACCCCGGGACUGCACUUGGAACUGGGUGGCUGGAGUGCAGGAGAGGCAGGCGGAAUUCCUGGUGUAGCGGUGAAAGGCGUAGAUAUCAGGAGGAACACCGAUGGCGAAGGCAGCCUGCUGGACUGCAACUGACGUUGAGGCUCGAAAGCGUGGGGAGCAAACAGGAUUAGAUACCCCGGUAGUC
Molecule: ribosomal RNA, 440 nt
Filed under: uncultured bacterium
Lineage: Bacteria
Description: partial 16S ribosomal RNA
Rfam family: Bacterial small subunit ribosomal RNA
Source: RNAcentral